Molecule: long non-coding RNA, 743 nt
Organism: Hemiscyllium ocellatum (epaulette shark)
Lineage: Eukaryota; Metazoa; Chordata; Chondrichthyes; Orectolobiformes; Hemiscylliidae
Exons: 4
Source: RefSeq, a predicted model, not a curated record
GUAAGACGAGAGGAUGUGCGUGUGGAGCAUGAACACCAGAAGAACACUCUCUCAGCAGAGCAGAAACUUCCUUCCUAAUCCUACACGGACUAUGACAAUGAGAUCCUUCCUUUUCCACUCCAUGCUCCUCUCUACUCCAGAAGAGAUGUCCUGAUCUUUGACUCGAGGCUUGAAAUCAUCUUGUUAAAAGUAAAAUCAAGCAACAGCUGAAGGUCACUGCUCAAAGUCAACAACACUGAUAAAAGACUGGAGUCACACUUAAAUUCACCCAGAUGACCAUUACUUUUGAAGAAACCAGAUGAGGAAUUGGACAGAACAGUGCCUAGCUAAUUUUGAAAUUGACAAUGAACUGCUCACCUAUUUUUCCUAAUCAACCUGCUUAGGAAUGUUAUUACACACUUCUGGAGCAACUGGGAAUUGAACCAAGGUCUCUCUGGUCUAGGGCAAGGACACUAUCUCUGCAACACAAUAGGGCCCUAUUUCGAUUAAAAGUGUGAUGCUCUACUCACCGAACCAUAAAGGCAUUAAAGGUCCAAUCUGUUCAUAUACUUAAGCCGCCAAUUGGAAUUCCAGAUGCCUUUGAUCAUGUGACACAAAAGAUUUGGUCAGCAAAGAUUACUGAGCUUGAGGGGUUGGACUCAAGAAGGUAGACCAAAGACAAAUGAGAAACUUCAAUCAACAGAACAGAACAAGAGACCAAUGCCCACUUAACCAGUGUCACAAACUGGCAUCUUGAAGUAGAU